This 1202-nucleotide long non-coding RNA is filed under the name Salmo salar (Atlantic salmon). Its description in RNAcentral is "lncRNA (ENSSSAG00000071650.2)". Lineage: Eukaryota; Metazoa; Chordata; Actinopteri; Salmoniformes; Salmonidae. The record is from RNAcentral.
AUUUGAUAUAGCUGUGCUGUAGUUACCUAUAUUUUCAGGAAGUUUAAUGUAGGGUGGACCACAUGGACAGCUCCUUAGUGGUCAAUGAAAAUAAGGUCAUUUUCUUCAGCGUCACUAAUGAUCUGUCACAACAUCAGACGUGAGUCUCCAUAUCUUCCUCCUCUGUAGGUUUUUCUGUGUCCUACCAAACACACAUCAGUUUUCUCACAUGACAAUCUAUGUGUGGAGUUCACUUCACUGACGGAAGAAAGUGGAAAAUAUGUCUUUGUCUUAUAUUCUUCUCAUUUAUGUCGCCGGUGUUGCGGUAAAAGAAAGUUGUGCAGAUUCGGUUCCCACUCCCACUAUUGUAUUUUCCUCUGGGUACAUCAAUGUAGCUACACCUGUUACAGUACGCUGUGAGUCACCAAAAGGCACAGAGUGCAAGUUCUACAGAGAUCACCAACCCAACCCUAUAAGAAAACUGGAUUACAAGCAGGGUGCUUGCCAGUUCAAGUUGUUAUGGAAUGAGUUCAAAAAGUGGAACAAGACUGAAGUUGAUCUCAGCUGUGUAAUUCUACAGAAUAGAGAAGAUAAAACGAUCAAAACCUCAAAACCUAGUGAUGCUCGAAGACUUAUAGUGAGUGAUCCAAUUGGAAUGCCCAGUGUUCAUGUGGAGAAGAUCGGGAAUUACCUCAAUCUUCGAUGUGAGGCCAAGGCUUGCACCUCAUGCUACUUUUAUCUGAACAAUGGUGACUCACACUUUAAUAAACAACCCUACAAAGACAAUGUCUGUGUGGGGAGAGUGGCAGAAGAGGAACUGCAGAGGAAGAUGAGCAGUGCUGGAGAGAACUUCAUCACCUGUGCUGUGGAGCUGGUGAUAGAGGGUGAAGAUACUGUGACAUCACAGCAUAGUGAACCCCUCGGUAUCACCAUAGAUGUUGUAAAUCCUCCAGGAGCAACUAGUUCCCCGUCAGAGUUCAGUUUAAUCAUACCUGUUCAGGAGGAGACAAGCAGCAAUGUCACAGCCCAAGGAAGAGAAUCCGUCUCAGUGAUCCCCUUCUACCAGUAUACCAGUCUUCGUGCUGUUGUCUAUGUUAUCAUUCUGCUGAUGGAAUUUGUUCUGUGUCUUCUCUGGUAUAGACGUGGUACAUGCCUUCUCAUACUCAUACACAACAUGUAACGGAUGUAGAAACUUCAUUUGAUUACUCUUUUAUUUCUGAGAA